RNAcentral lists this ribosomal RNA (126 nucleotides) under Pseudooceanicola sp. RNAcentral describes it as "partial 23S ribosomal RNA". It matches the Rfam family "Bacterial large subunit ribosomal RNA", at positions 2788 to 2925 of the family's 2925-position model. The record is from RNAcentral. Lineage: Bacteria; Pseudomonadati; Pseudomonadota; Alphaproteobacteria; Rhodobacterales; Paracoccaceae.
GGAAGCCCCCUUCAAAACUAGGUCUCCCUUGAGGGCCGUGGAAGACCACCACGUCGAUAGGCCGGAGAUGUACGCACAGCAAUGUGUUCAGUUGACCGGUACUAAUUGUCCGAUAGGCUUGAUUUG